AAAGCAUUACUUAGCAUAUGAGAGCAAGGUCUGUUUCACAUCAUGUAUAAUUGGUUGAAUUUAAGACAACAC
Molecule: non-coding RNA, 72 nt
Filed under: Heterosigma akashiwo
Lineage: Eukaryota; Raphidophyceae; Chattonellales; Chattonellaceae
Source: RNAcentral